CUGGCGGCAUGCCUACACAUGCAAGUCGAACGCGAAAGGUUCCUUCGGGAACCGAGUAGAGUGGCGGACGGGUGAGUAACGCGUAGGAAUCUGCCCAUGUAGUGGGGGACAACUCGGGGAAACCCGAGCUAAUACCGCAUACGCCCUACGGGGGAAAGGGGGCCUCUUCUUGAAAGCUCCCGCUAUUGAUGAGCCUGCGUCGGAUUAGCUAGUUGGUGGGGUAAAGGCCUACCAAGGCGACGAUCCGUAGCUGGUCUGAGAGGACGAUCAGCCACACUGGGACUGAGACACGGCCCAGACUCCUACGGGAGGCAGCAGUAGGGAAUAUUGGACAAUGGGCGCAAGCCUGAUCCAGCAAUGCCGCGUGUGUGAAGAAGGCCUGCGGGUUGUAAAGCACUUUCAGUUGGGAAGAAAAGCAUUAGGCUAAUAUCCUAAUAUUUUGACGUUACCAACAGAAGAAGCACCGGCUAACUCUGUGCCAGCAGCCGCGGUAAUACG
RNAcentral lists this ribosomal RNA (498 nucleotides) under uncultured Gammaproteobacteria bacterium. Its description in RNAcentral is "bacterial SSU rRNA". It matches the Rfam family "Bacterial small subunit ribosomal RNA", at positions 36 to 527 of the family's 1533-position model. Lineage: Bacteria; Pseudomonadati; Pseudomonadota; Gammaproteobacteria. The record is from RNAcentral.